AAUUCCCUGCGCUGUUGGUGAUUAUCGAAAUAUUGAGCCAAACACUCUUUAAAAGGGUAUUCAUAACCAUAGACGGAUGGAAAUCUUAGCGGAUUACCAGAAGACUAUGGAUGGAUUGCCCACCUAAUUUUUAUUAGGUUUAAUUAUUUCGAUGACACGGCAGUGUGGGGAUCUU
RNAcentral lists this non-coding RNA (175 nucleotides) under Desulfobulbaceae bacterium. RNAcentral's name for it is "6S RNA". It matches the Rfam family "6S / SsrS RNA". Rfam says of the family: E. coli 6S RNA was the first non coding RNA to be sequenced, but its function was unknown until recently. It consists of 184 nucleotides that fold into an extended hairpin structure with a large single-stranded internal bulge. The record is from RNAcentral. Lineage: Bacteria; Pseudomonadati; Thermodesulfobacteriota; Desulfobulbia; Desulfobulbales; Desulfobulbaceae.